AAUAGAAAGUAAUUAAGGGCGUAUGGCGGAUGCCUAGGCUCACGGAGGCGAUGAAGGACGUGAUAAGCUGCGAUAAGCCUCGGGUAGAUGCAAAUAAUCUUUGAUCCGAGGAUUUCCGAAUGGGAGAACCUGACUGUCUGAAUGAUAGUCACCCAUAUAUUUUUUAUGGGAGCAAACGCAGGGAACUGAAACAUCUUAGUACCUGUAGGAAAAGAAAAUAAUUUAAUGAUUCCCCUAGUAGUGGCGAGCGAACGGGGAAAAGCCCAAACCUAUGACGUAGUAAUGCGUGAUAGGGGUAGUAGGGUCACGAUAUCGUACUUUGAAAGUGAGGAGAAUGUUCUGGAAAGUUCAAUAAUAUAAGGUGAUAAUCCUGUAUCCGAAGCUUGAUGAGGCGUAGUGAAUCCCUGAGUAGUGCGGAGCACGAGUAAUUCUGCAUGAAUCUGCCGGGACCAUCCGGUAAGGCUAAAUACUCCCGUGAGACCGAUAGUGAACGAGUACUGUGAAGGAAA
RNAcentral lists this ribosomal RNA (509 nucleotides) under Atopobium sp. RNAcentral's name for it is "partial 23S ribosomal RNA". It matches the Rfam family "Bacterial large subunit ribosomal RNA", at positions 1 to 512 of the family's 2925-position model. The record is from RNAcentral. Lineage: Bacteria; Bacillati; Actinomycetota; Coriobacteriia; Coriobacteriales; Atopobiaceae.